Molecule: ribosomal RNA, 490 nt
Filed under: uncultured bacterium
Lineage: Bacteria
Description: partial 16S ribosomal RNA
Rfam family: Bacterial small subunit ribosomal RNA
Source: RNAcentral
AUUGAACGCUGGCGGCAGGCCUAACACAUGCAAGUCGAAUGGUAACAGGAAACAGCUUGCUGUUUCGCUGACGAGUGGCGGACGGGUGAGUAAUGUCUGGGAAACUGCCUGAUGGAGGGGGAUAACUACUGGAAACGGUAGCUAAUACCGCAUAACGUCGCAAGACCAAAGAGGGGGACCUUCGGGCCUCUUGCCAUCAGAUGUGCCCAGAUGGGAUUAGCUAGUAGGUGGGGUAACGGCUCACCUAGGCGACGAUCCCUAGCUGGUCUGAGAGGAUGACCAGCCACACUGGAACUGAGACACGGUCCAGACUCCUACGGGAGGCAGCAGUGGGGAAUAUUGCACAAUGGGCGCAAGCCUGAUGCAGCCAUGCCGCGUGUAUGAAGAAGGCCUUCGGGUUGUAAAGUACUUUCAGCGGGGAGGAAGGGAGUAAAGUUAAUACCUUUGCUCAUUGACGUUACCCGCAGAAGAAGCACCGACUAACUCCGUG